Molecule: ribosomal RNA, 478 nt
Filed under: uncultured bacterium
Lineage: Bacteria
Description: partial 16S ribosomal RNA
Rfam family: Bacterial small subunit ribosomal RNA
Source: RNAcentral
GAUGAACGCUAGCGGCAGGCCUAACACAUGCAAGUCGAGGGAGAAGCCCUUUCGGGGGCAGAAACCGGCGCACGGGUGCGUAACGCGUAUGCAACCUACCUUUCACAGGGGGAUAGCCCGAAGAAAUUUGGAUUAAUACCCCAUAAUAUUAUUGGAUGGCAUCAUUUGAUAAUUAAAACUGCGGUGGUGAAAGAUGGGCAUGCGUCCUAUUAGCUAGUUGGAGUGGUAACGGCACCCCAAGGCUACGAUAGGUAGGGGUCCUGAGAGGGAGAUCCCCCACACUGGUACUGAGACAGGGACCAGACUCAUACGGGAGGCAGCAGUGAGGAAUAUUGGUAAAUGGUCGGAAGACUGAACCAGCCAUGCCGCGUGCAGGAAGAAUGCCUUAUGGGUUGUAAACUGCUUUUAUAUGGGAAGAAUAAGGCGUACGUGUACGUUGAUGACGGUACCAUAUGAAUAAGCAUCGGCUAACUCCGUG